This 74-nucleotide transfer RNA is filed under the name Medicago truncatula (barrel medic). RNAcentral's name for it is "tRNA gene50731". Lineage: Eukaryota; Viridiplantae; Streptophyta; Magnoliopsida; Fabales; Fabaceae. The record is from RNAcentral.
GUAAGCAUAGUUCACUUGGUAGAACAAUGCAUUAUUAUAUGCACGGAUCGGAGUUCGAAUCUUCCGAGCAUCCC